RNAcentral lists this long non-coding RNA (1339 nucleotides) under Panax ginseng (ginseng). RNAcentral's name for it is "long non-coding RNA (PGIN_LNC015670)". The record is from RNAcentral. Lineage: Eukaryota; Viridiplantae; Streptophyta; Magnoliopsida; Apiales; Araliaceae.
ACGUAUAUGGCACUAUUCGCGUAUACGACACUAUUCACGAAUACGACAUUAUUCACAGAAAAAUUAAAUUUUCUUUUCUUUGUCCAAGUUGUCUAUUAUGGUUACUAUCUUUGAUUGUAUCCAUGUUUUGUUCUUCAUUCUUGAAUUUUGCUCCACAAUUGAUUAUUAUGGAGUAUUUUUGAACUUGGAUAAACUAAAGUACGAAUCCCAAAUCUUUGUUCUUUUAUCUCACUGGAUUCAUUUUCUUUAAAUAUUUUUUUAUCAUCCUCAGUCCUAAAUGGUGAUAUAACUGAAUAUCUUUGGCCUGUAGUGCAAAGAUGAAUGAUUACUUAAUGAAUAUCUUUGGUCUGUAGUGCAAAGAUGAAUGAUUACCUGAUGAAUAUCUUUGGCCCGUAGUGCAAAGAUGGACAGAUGUUGAGAUGAACAUGACCAACUGGUGAUACAAAUAAAUAUCUUUGGCCCGUAGUGCAAAGAUGAAUAUUUGAUUUGAGAUAGUUAUUAAUUGAUGUCACAGGGAUAAAAUAUUGACCAUGGACUUUUAAAUCAUAGAAGAUAGUAGACUUCAUUCUCUACUUAACUCUUCUAAUGAAUUGUUAUUUCCGCUGCGAAUAUUGAUCUAAAACUUGUUGUCCAUUAUAUUUUAUCUUAUUUAUUGAAGGCUAACGAUAAUUUGCUUUUAAUUAUCUUGGUCAUAAUAUUCUUUACUAGGCUAGUUGAGCUCAUCCUUUUCCUUUUUGUUCCAUUUUUCUUCUUAGGAGGCGAGAAUAUAACUGGUACUAGUCGGAGUGUGGAGUGAUGGUUCAAGACAGUUAUUACAGCAGUCCUCACUACUUUAUAAAAUAGUGUAUCAAUAAUUAUAAUGAGGACUUUAUUUGAGUUUGGAUAUUAUCUAUAAGACAAUAUUUGUACUAAAACUCACAGCAUAUGUGUUAUUGUAUUUUGCACGAUAAUUAUAUUAAUGAAGUUUGUAUUUAGUUUCUGUACCAUGUAUUUGGCGACUCAGAAUGGGUUGUGUGGACCUAUUUGGGGGCGUCACAGCUGUCCCAGAUAAGUCAAAGCCGGUAGUUCAAGGGGGAGCAUUUGUUGCGACCUUCCAAAAAGUGAGGAACCCGAACGAAGUUAUUACGGGUAAGCUAAUCAUAAACUCUUGUGAAGUCUAUACCUUAUUAGAUACCAGUUCUACCCAUUCUUUUAUUUCACUUGCUUGUGCUCAAUGUUUAAAUUUGACUUUAGAGAAAUUAGAGUUUGACUUAUCUACUGAGACUUCGUUAGGAGAAACCUUCAUUACAUCUGUAGACACUCAAAAUUUCAUUUUCUCUAUUACUAACUAUGGAGGAGG